AUAAGUACUUAUAUGAGCUUUAUGGCCCUCAGAGGCUAAGUAGGUUAUGUCCUACUUAGUACUUGGAUGGGGAACCACUUGGAAAGUCAAGGCCUAUUGAUA
RNAcentral lists this ribosomal RNA (102 nucleotides) under Notechis scutatus (mainland tiger snake). Lineage: Eukaryota; Metazoa; Chordata; Lepidosauria; Squamata; Elapidae. The record is from RNAcentral.